AUUGAACGCUGGCGGCAUGCCUUACACAUGCAAGUCGAACGGUAACAGGUUAAGCUGACGAGUGGCGAACGGGUGAGUAAUGUAUCGGAACGUGCCCAGUCGUGGGGGAUAACUUCUCGAAAGAGCAGCUAAUACCGCAUACGACCUGAGGGUGAAAGCGGGGGAUCGCAAGACCUCGCGCGAUUGGAGCGGCCGAUAUCAGAUUAGGUAGUGGGUGAGGUAAAGGCUCACGAAGCCGACGAUCUGUAGCUGGUCUGAGAGGACGACCAGCCACACUGGGACUGAGCACCGGCCCAGACUCCUACGGGAGGCAGCAGUGGGGAAUUUUGGACAAUGGGCGCAACCCUGAUCCAGCCAUGCCGCGUGCGGGAAGAAGGCCUUCGGGUUGUAAACCGCUUUUGUCAGGGAAGAAAAGGUUCUGGCUAAUACCUGGGACUCAUGACGGUACCUGAAGAAUAAGCCCCGGCUAACUACGUG
RNAcentral lists this ribosomal RNA (477 nucleotides) under uncultured bacterium. RNAcentral describes it as "partial 16S ribosomal RNA". It matches the Rfam family "Bacterial small subunit ribosomal RNA", at positions 30 to 507 of the family's 1533-position model. The record is from RNAcentral.